UACGUAGGUGGCGAGCGUUGUCCGGAAUUACUGGGUGUAAAGCGCGUGUAGGCGGGAGGCCAAGUCUGUGGUGAAAUCGCCCGGCUUAACUGGGCGGGGGCCUUCCAGACGGCGUGGCUUGAGCAGCGGAGGGGGACGUGGAAUUCCGGGUGGAGCGGUGAAAUGCGUAGAGAUCCGGAGGAACACCGACGGCGCAGGCAGCGUCCUGGCCGCUUGCUGACACUGAGGCACGAAAGCUGGGGGAGCAAACAGG
This 253-nucleotide ribosomal RNA is filed under the name uncultured bacterium. RNAcentral's name for it is "partial 16S ribosomal RNA". It matches the Rfam family "Bacterial small subunit ribosomal RNA", at positions 524 to 776 of the family's 1533-position model. The record is from RNAcentral.